AGAUCCUACGGGGCGCAGCAGUGGGGGAUAUUGCACAAUGGGGGCAACCCUGAUGCAGCGACGCCGCGUGAGCGAUGGAGUACUUCGGUAUGUAAAGCUCUGUCAGCAGGGAAGAGAAUGACGGUACCUGACCAAGAAGCCCCGGCUAACUACGUGCCAGCAGCCGCGGUAAUACGUAGGGGGCAAGCGUUAUCCGGAUUUACUGGGUGUAAAGGGAGCGUAGACGGCAAUACAAGUCGGAAGUGAAAUACCCGGGCUCAACCUGGGAACUGCUUUGGAAACUGUAUGGCUGGAGUGCUGGAGAG
This 305-nucleotide ribosomal RNA is filed under the name uncultured bacterium. RNAcentral's name for it is "bacterial SSU rRNA". It matches the Rfam family "Bacterial small subunit ribosomal RNA", at positions 334 to 656 of the family's 1533-position model. The record is from RNAcentral.